GAUGAACGCUGGCGGCGUGCCUAAUACAUGCAAGUCGAGCGAACAGAUGAGGCUCUUGCUCCUCUGACGUGAGCGGCGGACGGGUGAGUAACACGUGUAUAACCUACCUAUAAGACUGGGAUAACUUCGGGAAACCGGAGCUAAUACGGGAUAAUAUAUUGAACCGCAUGGUGGAAUAGUGAAAGACGGUGGUGCGGUAACGUAUAGAUGGAUCCCCGCCGCAUGAGCUAGUUGUUGAGGUAACGGCUUACCAAGGCAAGGAUGCGUAGCCGAGGGGUGUGGGUGAUUGGCCACACUGGAAGUGAGACACGCUCCAGACUCCUACGGGAGGGAGCAGUAGGGAACCUGCGGCAAUGGGCGAAAGCCUGACGGAGCAGGGCCGCGUGAGUGAUGAAGGUCUCCGGUUCGUAAAGCUGUGUUAUUAGGGAAGAACAAAUGUGUAAGUAGCUAUGCACGUCUUGACGGUACCUAAUCAGAAAGCAACGGCUAACUACGUG
This 497-nucleotide ribosomal RNA is filed under the name uncultured bacterium. Its description in RNAcentral is "partial 16S ribosomal RNA". It matches the Rfam family "Bacterial small subunit ribosomal RNA", at positions 28 to 507 of the family's 1533-position model. The record is from RNAcentral.